Long non-coding RNA from Camellia sinensis, 1891 nucleotides. RefSeq lists it as uncharacterized. NCBI's taxonomy places the organism in Eukaryota, Viridiplantae, Streptophyta, Magnoliopsida, Ericales, Theaceae. The record is from RefSeq and is a predicted model, not a curated record.
UUCUAAUCUCUCGAGGGCAGAUUCAAUUCGGCCAAUGAAGAAUCAAUAGAUAAACACCACACCUAUAUACAUACAUACGGAGAGAGAGAGAGAGAGAGAGAGAAAGUAUACAUACAGGUGAUGGCUACGAUUCGAUGGAGCCUGAGAUGUGUCUGUUGGAAUUCACGAAGAUGGAAGCAGACACAACCAUAAAGUCAAGUCUGAUUGAUGUCGUCCCAGUCCCACAUCGAAACUUCGACGUUAUAGACAUGGAGUUUAUAAGAAAGAAGAAAAGAGAAUACGUUGUCCCUUCGGGGACAUCCGAUAAAAUUGGAACGAUACAGAGAAGAUUAGCAUGGCCCCUGCAUCAAGGAUGACACGCACAAAUCGAGAAAUGGUCCAAAUUUUUUUCUACCUUUUUGCUUUGACAAAUUUGCAGCAGAAUAAUCGGAGAGUUAGGGUUUCGUACACUUUUUUGUCCCAAUUUCUUUGAGAAAUUUGUACAAUCAUCGAACAGAUGGCCUUUCUUUUUGCAGGAAUGUAUUUGUUGUAUGUAUUUCGCGAUCUCCUCGAUGCCGAUGACUUCAGGGACAUUCUCUUCAACAACAGCAGCUGAUUAGUAACUGUUUACAAUUGAUUCUAAAUUUAUUUUUAUUAUUGUUUUUUUUUUUUUUUUAAAUUUUUAUCCUCUUCUUCUAGACUUAAAAGCUACUAGUUUUGCUUCAAUUUCGUUUGUCCAGAAUGAGUGACUUUCUAGGGUUUUAACGAGCUUGGAAAAGGACAAAUCACUUCAAAUUAAACUUGUGUUUCUGACUAAAAGUGCAUGACGUGUUCAUACCACUACUUGGUCUGGUUUAAUUUGGAUCUAUUUGAACUCUAUGGAGUCUCUAUGAUUUCAAUAGUAAGCUCUUGAUCUUCAGUUAAUUUUCUAGUUGACAUGUCAAUUUGCAGUUAGUGAAAUUUUACCUUUUAUCGUACCGCCGAGUAUAUCAUAACAUUUCAGCAACUAGUUUAAUCUAUUGAGCUUGCUUAUAAAUAAUGCACUCAAAUUUCAGAAUGUCUAGCUUGAAUCCUGAAGAUGUAGUAGAAUAAACUGUAUACAUAGCAUUUCUUAAGCCCUUGUGGUAUGCUUGUAGGCAAUGUAUCAACAACUCAGACUAGAGUUGUAUGCCGUGCACAACACAUUUCAGUUACAAGGCACUGAAGGAAAUCAUCAAACGCACCCUUAUUACAUCUCUCUCUUCUCAUGUGAGAAAGCCUUAUAUUGCGCAAAGGCAAGGGAUAGCAUGGCGUAUGAAACCAUCAGCCACAAUUACUUUACAAGCUGGGGGAAACUCAGGCUGAUCCCUGAAAUAUAUAUAUAUAUAUUUCCUUUCUUGCUAAUCCAGUACAAGAUAAUAAAUUCUGAAAACUCAACCAACAGAAGCCUCCUGCAAUCAGCGCCACACCUUCUGGUUUGCAUAUGAAUUUCUUCAGUGAACUUCAGUGUGCAAUAUAUGUGAUGCAAAUGCCAGCUCUGACACCUAAGAUCGAAAUCACAGAACUUGAAGCGUUUGUCUGGCUUUGGACUUUCUGAGUACUUUAGACUUUGUGAUCAAGACGGUUUAUUGUAUGUGUUCAAUAAACCUUGAUGUAUUCUACUAAUUAGGCAAUUUCUAGUUUAUUAGGCAUAAAAAAGUAUGGUUUUGUGCUUUGGCACAUGCCCAGAAGAACACGAAGUUGUAUCAAUAUGUUGAGUGUUUACGUCUACAAUUGCAUGGGUUGAUUAGGUCCCAUUAGAGAGAAUCAAUUUAGAUUAACUUGGCUUACACUGGAAGAUUUUGAUUGUCUACAAUGAUUGUUUUAUCCAUAUGUUGCUUGCUUAAUAUCAUAAGCUGGCUAUUCAUCUUGUAUGUGAAUGCGGUGUUCUUCA